Molecule: long non-coding RNA, 446 nt
Filed under: Cricetulus griseus (Chinese hamster)
Lineage: Eukaryota; Metazoa; Chordata; Mammalia; Rodentia; Cricetidae
Description: lncRNA (ENSCGRG00015039342.1)
Source: RNAcentral
CUCAUAUCUAAGCGGGGAAACAGGAAGUGGCCCCUUUUUCCCCUCCGCUCCUGCUCCAGCGGCACAAUGUGAUCCACCGGCAAGGAGGGACGCCAAUAAGCUUUCCUGUCCCCGAGUGGAGGAAAAUUGCAGCUCUCUCCAUGGUGAACGGAGAUGACAGAGAAUCACUGGGAAGUCUCAGGGACUGUCUGCCAUGCGGUUUGAAGAUGGAUGGCAAAUCAUCUACUCCACCCUUAAUGGCCUGUGCUGUGGAAGAUACUGCUAACUCAGCACAGCCAUGCUUCCUACAACUCAUAAUGUCCAUCAAGGUCACAAAGCUGGUCCAGUAUCAUGUUGCCAGGAGUGGUCGUCACCAAAUCCCGGCUCUAGUGAUCUGUCCGAGGACUUGGCAGAAGAGCUAUCCUUGUCAUCAUAUUUCCAUAUUGAAGUCCAAAUGACUCUGCUAU